GAUGAAGAACGUAGUGAAAUGCGAUAAGUAGUGUGAAUUGCAGAAUUCAGUGAAUCAUCGAAUCUUUGAACGCACAUUGCGCCCCUUGGUAUUCCAUGGGGCAUGCCUGUUCGAGCGUCAUUAUCCAUCCCUCAAACCUCGUGUUUGAUGUUGGGCUUUUCUGAACCGUCACAAGUUUAGAUGCCUCAAAGGUAAUGACGGCGUCCUCGUGGGACUCGACGCACUGAGCUUUUUUGCAAAGGCACGCGUUGUAGGAUCGCGGGUGACCCGGUCUAACUCUUAAAAAAAUUUUUACAAGGUUGACCUCGGAUCAGGUAGGGAUACCCGCUGAACUUAAGCAUAUCAAUAAGCGGAGGA
Molecule: unclassified non-coding RNA, 357 nt
Filed under: soil metagenome
Description: partial contains 5.8S ribosomal RNA, internal transcribed spacer 2, and large subunit ribosomal RNA
Rfam family: 5.8S ribosomal RNA (bases 1-120)
Source: RNAcentral